ACACCUACGGGGGGCAGCAGUAGGGAAUCUUCCACAAUGGACGAAAGUCUGAUGGAGCAACGCCGCGUGAGUGAAGAAGGGUUUCGGCUCGUAAAGCUCUGUUGGGAGUGAAGAAAGAUAGAGGUAGUAACUGGCCUUUAUUUGACGGUAAUUACUUAGAAAGUCACGGCUAACUACGUGCCAGCAGCCGCGGCAAUACGUAGGUGGCAAGCGUUGUCCGGGUUUAUUGGGCGUAAAGCGAGUGCAGGCGGGUAAAAAA
RNAcentral lists this ribosomal RNA (259 nucleotides) under uncultured bacterium. RNAcentral describes it as "partial 16S ribosomal RNA". It matches the Rfam family "Bacterial small subunit ribosomal RNA", at positions 335 to 586 of the family's 1533-position model. The record is from RNAcentral.